AGGAGGGAGCACUGCAGGAGGAGCAAGUUCCGGUUGAGAAUGGAGGCUCAGAAGUCCAGAGGUGCAAUUUGGUGGACGAUGGAGGUAAGAGGAGAAAAAAAAAAAAACAAGAUGAAAAGAAUUAGAAGCAACCUUUUUGAGGAAUUUUUCUGAAAAGGGAAGGACAAAAAUGGUAGGUCAUCUAGACGAGGAAUUGAGACUAAGAACACUGUGCUUUGUUUUGUUUUGUUUUGUUGUUUUGUUUUGUGGUGAGAGAACAUUUACAUGGCACGGGGAAAGACCGGCGGUGCAGGCGAGCGAGGGUGGCCUGCAGCACUGUCCCUGACUGAGUGGGUGGGUAUCAUGUGCAAGUGCAGGUGUCAGCCUUUGCAGAGCCAUGCAGAGUUCAUAUAAAUGAACAAGAAGGAAGGCAGAGUCUGUGCACACAAAUGCUGGUAAGUAGGUAGCUAAUUUGGGGCAGUUACAUUCCAAUGGUUUCUGUGUUCUCAGUAUAUAGGACGCAAGGUCACAUAACAAUGAAGCUGGGAAACUUUGACAAGGUGUGCGAUAGCCCUCCUCCAGCACAGUGAGGAAUAAAGAACCAAGGGAAAGGCAUAAUACAGUUGCUGAGGAGCUUUAAGGGUUCACUAGAGAUGAAUGAUCAAGAAUGAGGCCAGCUUGGCUGUGUGCCUUUCUCCGGCUGUGUUCAGCUACGCAAACGGGGUAGGGGAAAGUCCAAUCUCACAAAGGUUGUAGUUUAGCCAAGUUAGUGUAACAAAGUACGAGGGACACAGGUUCAAGGGUAUUUUCAAGAGGGUGGUUAAAAUGUUCGACCACAGAGUUGACCUAGGUUAGGAGGGAAGUAACAUGGAAAGAGUGACUGAAAGUGAAAAUAUACAGUAGCAGCAUCAGUGGCUUUGGGGUUCCAGUGGAGGUGAGGAUUGUUAGCAUUUACAGAGUGCAUGCGGCACUAACAAAGAGCUUGAGCUACACAAAUCUAAGCCUUGAUGAUAUCUAACGAUGUCUAAAAUUAAGGGGCUCGCCAACAUGAGAUCACCCACCAAAAAUAAAUAAUCAGCUUUUUUCCAGGCCCUCUCAACCACUGACCCGCUGCACAGAGGGACCUCCUUAUGUGGCCUGAUUAAAUCCUGUUCUUGAAUUCCAGUUUUCAUGCACUUCCUGCCAUUUUCUGCAAGCAGCAAAGCCAAGAUUCCAGUGGGCUCUCUGACAUGGCAGAAUGCCAGGUCAACCAAAGAAUCUGUACUUUCUACAGCCUCGGUGGAGAAUUGAGCAUCAGAGCUCUGGCAGUCUGUUGUGUUAAUCAGUUUGCAAGGUGAGGCCACAUGUGCUCCUAAAGCAGCUCAUUAAAGCUGCUCCUCUUUCCUGAUUCCCACUCUCACCCUGGGUGUGGAAUGGAACAAUAAAUCUGAACUGCCUCUUGCCAGGCUUUUUAAAUAGGAACAAAAAGAAUCUAGCACCUGGGACAUGUACAAGAAAGGAACAAAGUACUCCAAGUCGAACAUCACAGGAAAAGCAAUCUGAGCAAGUUGCCAGAGCCUGAUUUUUUCCAGCCAGUAACUAACAAAUGUACUCACUAGCAUCUUUAUAUUAUUGACUGACAUGACAACACACCACAAUCAAAGAGCUCUUUGCAGCUAUAUGCUGAGUACCAAAGAGCAUAUGCACAAUUCAUGCUGAGACCCUCCUUUCUCUUUCUCUCUCUGCCUCAGAAAACCCAGUUUCUUUUAGUCUCUAAAUUUAUGACCCCGUAGCCCAGGAUUUCCAGCUUCUCUAGUACAGAAGUCUCCUAUCAGCAUCUUAGAAUAUUACAGCUGUUUCUUGAUUGGGUACUAUGGACCUGAAAGAGAAGAAAAGUCAAUUAAUAGUCUUCCAAAAAAAAAACACAACAACUUCUUUUUAAGGAUCUCUCAGCAGUAAAUAUAGAACCAGCUAUCCAGAGGUUCUGAAAAAUAUCAGUUCAUUUCCUUAAUUAUAAUGAAUAAAAUGAGCAAGGAAGGUGUUUUGGUUUCUUGAACUUAAAGAAAAAACAGAGAUCAUUUAUAAUUUUAAAACAAGUGUCAAAUACUGCUUCUUUUUCACUUUUUGAGUUAAGGCCUACAGAACUUACAGUAUAAUUGUCACCCUUCCCAAAUGCCAAGUCUUAUACAUUGUUGAACUUAGAUUAUUAGGUAAAGAUUUGUCAUCAGAGAAUGAACUGAAAUCAGAAUGCCUUGCUCCUAUAAGUUAAAAAAAAACAAACCUUUAAUGAUUCUUUUUAGUGUGGGGUUGAGUAAUAUUUAAAGCACUAAACUGUGUCUCUAGUAUUUGAGGGGAUAAGGUUUAGAGUUCAUUGUGUUGACUGUCUUUUCAAAGAUUAGAUAGUUUAGUUAGGCUCCUACUGGCCGUGCAAAUGUCUCAGUGUUUAUUGACUGUCUGCAGUCAUUAUCAAAGACUCUGAACACAAUCGACACCUUGUAAACAGAAAUCCCAUUAUUUUUGUGGUACUGAUAAGAUUUACUAAGAAUUUAAUUUUUUUAUGAUUGAUUGCCCAGUUAAAGGUAUUAAUUCAGUACAGAAGAGUAUAAAUGAGUAUGAAUUCAGUCAGCGAACCUGCCCUUUUAUUUUUUUAAUUAUAAUUUCUUUUUGCUUAUAGUGGUGGAAAUAAUUAUCUGAACAAUGUAAAAGGUCAAACAAGGUACAAAUAUGACUUAAGUACAUUUUAAUAUGUUAUAUACAUUUCUAUUGAUACUUCAGUAAUCUACAAAGGAAUUUAUGUUUUCUUGGAAAGAUGCUUUAAGUCAUUCAGUAUACAGAAAAAUUAUAUAGUGUGCUAAUUUAGUUUGGAAAUAUUAAAAAGACUUAUUUGCUGGAUGUUUUGUGAAUAAAUUUUAUUUUAUUUUAUUUUAUUCUUUUGCAGUGCUAAGGAUCAAACCCAGGGCUUCAUUCAUACUAAGCAAGUGCUCUGCAAUACAUCCCAGUUCAUAGGCCUGCAUUUUAAGAUGCUUUAAUGAAAAUAAAAUUCCUACAGUUAGACAGUAGCAUCCAUUGAACAUCUGCCACACCUCUGUAUCACACUGUUCUAGACCUCUGAGAAAUAUAUGGAUAAAACACAGUCCUUCGCUACACUAAGCCUGAUACAAAAACAGAAGUCCAGUGUUCUGAGAACAUUUUGUAUGUAAGUUGGGUCCAGCAGAGGAAACCAGAGAUCCACUGGGCUGUGAGAGAAGGAAGAUAAAGAAUGAGCACAUCAGAAGGAAACUAAAGCACAAUGUCAAAAGCAGGCCGAACGAGAGGAAGGGCUUUCUCACUUUAUAAGAGGAGCUAAAGAAAGGGAGAAGAAAAGGCAAAAGCAUCUGGGUUUGCUUAUUUGACCCAAAUGCCACCUAGAGGCUUCUUCUUUUUUCAUUGGUUUAUAGUUAAGAUGGUGCUACACUGAAUCUACCAAUUUAUGAAACUUAGGGUGAAUUUUUAAAGUUGAUGUCCAUUUCAAGUACAUAUAUACUUGAAAUUAAUAUUAGUACUAGUAGUUGAAAUACUAAUACCAAUACUAUGACUAGUGUUAUUGAUGUUAUCAGUAUUAAUCAUUUCUCCCUUCUUCAAAGGUCUCCAAGAACCUAUAAUUUUUUCUUUUAGAACUUUCAGUAAAAUGGAUCCUUCAUGAAAAUGCAGUUCAUCCUUUGGCUGCAGUGCUUUGACACACUACAGAAACUGUAAAGGUUUCCCUUCCUUCAUCUCCCAGGCGCAAGCCAAACUACCCCUAGUUGGAGAGGCAAGUUAGGGAACGAGGAACAAGAUAUAACGGCUUCACAUCUGUCACCAUAAGUCCCACUUACCACUAACAUAGUUUGUAGAAGUUAAUUCAGAAAUUAUGACUAGGCAAUAGAAAAUAGACAUCACAGACAUGGGAAUACUAAAGUUAAAUGAAACCAGAAACCCAAAAAUUAAAAGGAGAAGUAGGGACAUAGCUAAUAUUAAAUAAUAAAACAAGUUAACAUUGAAAAAGUA
Molecule: long non-coding RNA, 3984 nt
Organism: Chinchilla lanigera (long-tailed chinchilla)
Lineage: Eukaryota; Metazoa; Chordata; Mammalia; Rodentia; Chinchillidae
Exons: 3
Source: RefSeq, a predicted model, not a curated record